AAGUCGUAACAAGGUUUCCGUAGGUGAACCUGCGGAAGGAUCAUUAUCGUAGGGCUUCGGCCCUGUCGAGAUAGAACCCUUGCCUUUAUGAGUACCGUCCGUUUCCUCGGCAGGUCCGCCUGCCGAUGGACAAAAAAAUAAACCCUUUAUCACCCGUAUCAGUCUGAAAAAACAAAUAAAAAUUAAAA
RNAcentral lists this unclassified non-coding RNA (188 nucleotides) under plant metagenome. Its description in RNAcentral is "partial contains small subunit ribosomal RNA and internal transcribed spacer 1". The stretch from base 1 to 46 matches the Rfam family "Eukaryotic small subunit ribosomal RNA", at positions 1786 to 1831 of the family's 1831-position model. The record is from RNAcentral.